GAGGGAAAGGUGAAAAGUACCCCUGUGAGGGGAGUGAAAUAGAACCUGAAACCAUGUGCCUACAAGGUGUAAGAGCUGGGAUUUAUCCUGGUGAUUGCGUGCCUUUUGCUUAAUGAGUCUACGAGUUAGUGUCUGUGGCAAGCUUAAGUCCUUCUGGGACGCAGGCGUAGCGAAAGCAAGUCCGAAUAGGGCGAUUUAGUUGCAGGCGCUAGACCCGAAGCGGAGGCGACCUACCCAUGGCCAGGUUGAAGCGACAGUAAAAUGUCGUGGAGGACCGAACCGAUGUGUGUUGAAAAACGCUCGGAUGAGCUGUGGGUCGGAGUGAAAGGCUAUUCAAGCCCCGUGAUAGCUGGUUCUCCUCGAAAUGCAUUUAGGUGCAGCGUUGCGUGUUGAUGAGUGGGGGUAGAGCACUGAAAGGGCUAGGGGGCAUACCCGCCUACCAACCCCUAUCAAACUCCGAAUACCAUUCAAUAGAGCGCAGCAGUGAGACAGUGGGGGAUAAGCUUCAUUGUCGAAAGGGAAACAGCCCAGAUCAGCAGCUAAGGUGCCAAAAUCAUGCUAAGUGGAAAGGAGGUGGGGUUUCUUAGACAGUGAGGAUGUUGGCUUAGAAGCAGCCACCAUUUAAAAAAUGCGUAAUAGCUUACUCAUCGAGAGACCCUGCGCCGAAAAUGAUUGGCGAUAAGCAUGAUACCGAAGCUCUGGAUGUCAGAAUCCUGCGGGAAUCUGGCGUGGUAGAGGAGCAUUGUCAUCUGCAUUGAAGCGCGAAGGCGACUGAGCGUGGAGUGAUGACAAGAGAGUAUGUAGACAUGAGUAACGAUAAGCCGGGUGAAAUCCCCGGCCGCCGUAAACCCAAGGUUUCCCGGGCAACGUUUUUCGUCCCGGGGUUAGUCGGGACCUAACCCGAGGCCGAUAGGCGUAGGGGAUGGUAAGCUGAUUAAUAUUUCAGCACCUGCAAAGUGAAGGGGACGCUUUCCGAAUUGCAACCAAGUUAUUGAAUUCUGAGGGGAGGCCUUGUGCCGAACCGUAUUGCAUGAAAGAGAGCCAAGAAAAGCCGACACGAUUAAAAGCAGCCCGUACCGUAAACCGACACAGGUGGGUGGGUAGAGUAUACCAAGGCGCAAGAGUGAAACCUGGUCAAGGAACUCGGCAAAAUAGCUCCGUAACUUCGGGAUAAGGAGUGCCCCUCUUCGGAGGGGCCGCAGUGAAAUGGGUCAACCGACUGUUUAGCAAAAACACAGCAUUGUGCAAAGACGCAAGUCGAAGUAUACGAUGUGACACGUGACCAAUGCCAAAAGAUUACGGUGAGGUGUUAGCACUUUAGUGCGAAGCUCUGAGCCCAAGUCCUGGUGAAUGUCGGCCGUAACUAUAACGGUCCUAAGGUAGCGAAAUUCCUUGUCGGG
Molecule: ribosomal RNA, 1400 nt
Filed under: marine metagenome
Description: bacterial LSU rRNA
Rfam family: Bacterial large subunit ribosomal RNA
Source: RNAcentral